UACAGGGGGGGCAAGCGUUGUUCGGAAUUACUGGGCGUAAAGGGUGCGUAGGCGGGUCUUUAAGUCAGGGGUGAAAUCCUGGAGCUCAACUCCAGAACUGCCUUUGAUACUGAGGAUCUUGAGUACGGGAGAGGUGAGUGGAACUGCGAGUGUAGAGGUGAAAUUCGUAGAUAUUCGCAAGAACACCAGUGGCGAAGGCGGCUCACUGGCCCGUUACUGACGCUGAGGCACGAAAGCGUGGGGAGCAAACAGG
This 253-nucleotide ribosomal RNA is filed under the name uncultured bacterium. RNAcentral describes it as "partial 16S ribosomal RNA". It matches the Rfam family "Bacterial small subunit ribosomal RNA", at positions 524 to 776 of the family's 1533-position model. The record is from RNAcentral.